AUUGAACGCUGGCGGCAGGCCUAACACAUGCCAGUCGAGCGGAUGAAGGGAGCUUGCUCCUGGAUUCAGCGGCGGACGGGUGAGUAAUGCCUAGGAAUCUGCCUGGUAGUGGGGGAUAACGUCCGGAAACGGGCGCUAAUACCGCAUACGUCCUGAGGGAGAAAGUGGGGGAUCUUCGGACCUCACGCUAUCAGGUGAGCCUAGGUCGGAUUAGCUAGUUGGUGGGGUAAGGCCUACCAAGGCGACGAUCCGUAACUGGUCUGAGAGGAUGAUCAGUCACACUGGAACUGAGACACGGUCCAGACUCCUACGGGAGGCAGCAGUGGGGAAUAUUGGACAAUGGGCGAAAGCCUGAUCCAGCCAUGCCGCGUGUGUGAAGAAGGUCUUCGGAUUGUAAAGCACUUUAAGUUGGGAGGAAGGGCAGUAAGUUAAUACCUUGCUGUUUUGACGUUACCAACAGAAUAAGCACCGGCUAACUUCGUG
This 483-nucleotide ribosomal RNA is filed under the name uncultured bacterium. RNAcentral's name for it is "partial 16S ribosomal RNA". It matches the Rfam family "Bacterial small subunit ribosomal RNA", at positions 30 to 507 of the family's 1533-position model. The record is from RNAcentral.